GGAUGUGAGGGAGAUCUCGCUGCGACCUCUGUCACCCCAUUGAUCACCAGGGUUGAUUCGGUUGAUCUGGCCGGCUAAGCCAGUGUCCCCUUCCUCCCUCACCGCUCCAUGUGCGCCCUGCCAGAAGCUGCGUGCUCAGUCAAAGAGGAGGACCUUCCCCGAUAGAGGAGGGGACCGUUCUUCCACGGAGGGUAUAGGAGUAGCUGCACUCCCCAGUUAGAACCUACAAACAAGAUUUCGAAGUCCAUUUGUAGGAUAACAUAGCAUAGUCAAGCUUCCAAGACUCCAGACACAUCCAAAUGAUGUGCUGCACAUGGCAGUCUGCCUUUCUUU
Mustela putorius furo (domestic ferret) is the source of this 333-nucleotide unclassified non-coding RNA. Its record names the gene 7SK. It matches the Rfam family "7SK RNA". Rfam says of the family: 7SK was discovered as an abundant small nuclear RNA in the mid-70s but a possible function has only recently been suggested. Two independent studies have found that 7SK RNA binds the CDK9/cyclin T complex (known as elongation factor P-TEFb). Lineage: Eukaryota; Metazoa; Chordata; Mammalia; Carnivora; Mustelidae. The record is from Ensembl.